This 491-nucleotide ribosomal RNA is filed under the name Escherichia coli. RNAcentral's name for it is "bacterial SSU rRNA". It matches the Rfam family "Bacterial small subunit ribosomal RNA", at positions 1 to 481 of the family's 1533-position model. Lineage: Bacteria; Pseudomonadati; Pseudomonadota; Gammaproteobacteria; Enterobacterales; Enterobacteriaceae. The record is from RNAcentral.
AAAUUGAAGAGUUUGAUCAUGGCUCAGAUUGAACGCUGGCGGCAGGCCUAACACAUGCAAGUCGAACGGUAACAGGAAACAGCUUGCUGUUUCGCUGACGAGUGGCGGACGGGUGAGUAAUGUCUGGGAAACUGCCUGAUGGAGGGGGAUAACUACUGGAAACGGUAGCUAAUACCGCAUAACGUCGCAAGACCAAAGAGGGGGACCUUCGGGCCUCUUGCCAUCGGAUGUGCCCAGAUGGGAUUAGCUUGUUGGUGGGGUAACGGCUCACCAAGGCGACGAUCCCUAGCUGGUCUGAGAGGAUGACCAGCCACACUGGAACUGAGACACGGUCCAGACUCCUACGGGAGGCAGCAGUGGGGAAUAUUGCACAAUGGGCGCAAGCCUGAUGCAGCCAUGCCGCGUGUAUGAAGAAGGCCUUCGGGUUGUAAAGUACUUUCAGCGGGGAGGAAGGGAGUAAAGUUAAUACCUUUGCUCAUUGACGUUACCCG